RNAcentral lists this ribosomal RNA (374 nucleotides) under Dampetrus sp. RNAcentral's name for it is "partial large subunit ribosomal RNA". It matches the Rfam family "Bacterial large subunit ribosomal RNA", at positions 1833 to 2600 of the family's 2925-position model. Lineage: Eukaryota; Metazoa; Arthropoda; Arachnida; Opiliones; Assamiidae. The record is from RNAcentral.
GUUAUUUGAAGCAAAAAUAAUCUCGCCUGCUCAAUGUUAAAUUGCUGCAGUAUCCUGACUGUACGAAGGUAGCAUAAUGAAUUGCCUUUUAAUUGGAGGCUGGUAUGAAGGGUGGAACAGAGAGGAAGGUUUUGUUACUUGAACUUAGAUUGGUUGUAAGAAUACAAUCAUGAACCUUUGGGACGAGAAGACCCUAGAAGCUAUAUAUAUCUGUUGGUUGGGGCAACUUGAGAAGAGAUUUAACUUUUAUAAGUUACUCUAGGGAUAACAGCGUUAUUUAGGCCAGGAGUACGGAUUUGAGCCUAAGCUUGCGACCUCGAUGUUGAAUUAAAUGGUGCAGGGGCUAUAGUCUGUUCGACUAGUAAUAUUUUACA